Molecule: non-coding RNA, 30 nt
Filed under: Homo sapiens (human)
Lineage: Eukaryota; Metazoa; Chordata; Mammalia; Primates; Hominidae
Source: RNAcentral
UGCUCACCAGUGCUUUUGUGUAAGUUGGUU